AGACGUAACAAAUUACUCUUUGAACAUUCAAAACCCAACAAAUAAUUUUUUUUUUAAAAAUGACAGAUCAAAGUUAGUUUUUGUUUCUUCUCGUAAACGGGUUUGUUGUAAAUUUUAAAACGUUAUUCAUCCGUUUAGAUUAUUACAUUCAAGUCAAUCCAGAGCAGCUGAUGUAAGUGAUUGUAAAGCUGGGGCUGAUCUUUUGAACAUCAUUCGUAGAAAGGAAGAAGAAACAUUACCUGGUGUAGCUUCAUCACCUCCAUUUUUCCUCGGGUCUCCCCCGUGCAGAGUAUCAAACCCUUUAGCUCAAGAUGCACGAUUUGGAGAUAACAAACUCAACCCUAUCUCACCCUUCCUCCCAUCUCCAUCUCCAUCUCGUGUCAAAGGUGGAGGUUGUGGUCGAGUGAAGUUUGGGAUUAAACCGGCAGCUGUUAUAGUAAAGGGAUUCGAUUGCUUAAACAGGGACCGCCAAAACUCAAGCAUAACUGCCAUGGCUUAGAAGAAG
RNA transcript from Brassica napus (rape), 505 nucleotides. RefSeq lists it as uncharacterized. NCBI's taxonomy places the organism in Eukaryota, Viridiplantae, Streptophyta, Magnoliopsida, Brassicales, Brassicaceae. The transcript is spliced from 3 exons. The record is from RefSeq and is a predicted model, not a curated record.